This 405-nucleotide ribosomal RNA is filed under the name uncultured Synergistaceae bacterium. RNAcentral's name for it is "bacterial SSU rRNA". It matches the Rfam family "Bacterial small subunit ribosomal RNA", at positions 986 to 1382 of the family's 1533-position model. Lineage: Bacteria; Thermotogati; Synergistota; Synergistia; Synergistales; Synergistaceae. The record is from RNAcentral.
AUGUACGUGGUACGGAUAUGAAAGUUGAAGGACUCCGCUUUCGGGUGGAGAGCGUACACAGGUGCUGCAUGGCUGUCGUCAGCUCGUGUCGUGAGAUGUUGGGUUAAGUCCCGCAACGAGCGCAACCCUGCAUUCAGUUGCCAUCGGGUGAAGCCGGGCACUCUGGAAGGACUGCCAUCGACAAGAUGGAGGAAGGUGGGGACGACGUCAAGUCAUCAUGGCCCUUAUGUCCAGGGCGACACACGUGCUACAAUGGUCGGUACAAAGGGUUGCCAAGCCGCGAGGUGGAGCUAAUCCCAUAAAACCGAUCGUAGUCCGGAUCGCAGUCUGCAACUCGACUGCGUGAAGUCGGAAUCGCUAGUAAUCGUGAAUCAGAAUGUCACGGUGAAUACGUUCCCGGGCCUU